This 371-nucleotide ribosomal RNA is filed under the name uncultured bacterium. RNAcentral describes it as "bacterial SSU rRNA". It matches the Rfam family "Bacterial small subunit ribosomal RNA", at positions 212 to 595 of the family's 1533-position model. The record is from RNAcentral.
UUUGCGGUGUGGGAUGGGCCCGCGGCCUAUCAGCUUGUUGGUGGGGUAAUGGCCUACCAAGGCGACGACGGGUAGCCGGCCUGAGAGGGUGACCGGCCACACUGGGACUGAGAUACGGCCCAGACUCCUACGGGAGGCAGCAGUGGGGAAUAUUGCACAAUGGGCGCAAGCCUGAUGCAGCGACGCCGCGUGAGGGAUGACGGCCUUCGGGUUGUAAACCUCUUUCACCAGGGACGAAGCGUAAGUGACGGUACCUGGAGAAGAAGCACCGGCCAACUACGUGCCAGCAGCCGCGGUAAUACGUAGGGUGCGAGCGUUGUCCGGAAUUACUGGGCGUAAAGAGCUCGUAGGUGGUUUGUCGCGUUGUUCGA